GUAUCAAGACUUUAUAUUUUAGGGGAAGGUUUUUUAAUAACCUUUACCAAAUUGGGCUAUUUGGGAGAAGAAAUGAAGACCAUGCUCCACAGUGGGUUACAUACCACUUUGUAGAGUUCAUUGCUAUUUUGUGGCCUUUAUU
Molecule: small nucleolar RNA, 142 nt
Organism: Sciurus carolinensis (gray squirrel)
Lineage: Eukaryota; Metazoa; Chordata; Mammalia; Rodentia; Sciuridae
Product: small nucleolar RNA SNORA4
Exons: 1
Source: RefSeq, a predicted model, not a curated record